RNAcentral lists this ribosomal RNA (488 nucleotides) under uncultured bacterium. RNAcentral describes it as "bacterial SSU rRNA". It matches the Rfam family "Bacterial small subunit ribosomal RNA", at positions 29 to 521 of the family's 1533-position model. The record is from RNAcentral.
AGCGAACGUUAGCGGCGGGCCUAACACAUGCAAGUCGAGCGAGAAAGUGGCUUCGGCCAUCAGUAAAGCGGCGGACGGGUGAGUAACACGUAGGUAAUUUUCCUUCCAGCGGGGGACAACGUUCCGAAAGGGACGCUAAUACCGCGUACGUUUCUCGGGACUCCGGUCCUGAGAAGGAAAGCUAGGUAGCAAUAUCCGGCACUGGAUGAGAAGCCUGCGUAGCAUCAGCUAGUUGGUGGGGUAACGCCACCAAGGCGGUGAUCGGUAGCUGGUCUGAGAGGAUGAUCAGCCACACUGGGACUGAGACACGGCCCAGACUCCUACGGGAGGCAGCAGUGGGGAAUAUUGGACAAUGGGCGCAAGCCUGAUCCAGCAAUGCCGCGUGGGUGAAGAAGGUCUUCGGAUUGUAAAAGCCCCUUUUCGACGGGGACGAUGAUGACGGUACCCGUAGAAGAAGCCCCGGCUAACUUCGUGCCAGCAGCCGCGGU